This 229-nucleotide ribosomal RNA is filed under the name uncultured bacterium. Its description in RNAcentral is "partial 16S ribosomal RNA". It matches the Rfam family "Bacterial small subunit ribosomal RNA", at positions 568 to 796 of the family's 1533-position model. The record is from RNAcentral.
CGUGUAGGCGGUUUGGUAAGUCAGAUGUGAAAGCUCCGGGCUUAACCCGGAAAGUGCGUUUGAAACUGCCAGACUUGAGUGCGGGAGAGGAAGGUGGAAUUCCCAGUGUAGAGGUGAAAUUCGUAGAUAUUGGGAGGAACACCGGUGGCGAAGGCGACCUUCUGGACCGUCACUGACGCUGGGACGCGAAAGCGUGGGGAGCGAACAGGAUUAGAUACCCUGGUAGUCC